CGGAUCGGAGUCUGNAACCCGACUCCGUGAAGCUGGAUUCGCUAGUAAUCGCGCAUCAGCCAUGGCGCGGUGAAUACGUUCCCGGGCCUUGUACACACCGCCCGUCAAGCCAUGGAAGCCGGGGGUGCCUGAAGUGUGCAGCCGCAAGGAGCGCCCUAAGGUAAAACCGGUGACUGGGGCUAAGUCGUAACAAGGUACC
RNAcentral lists this ribosomal RNA (199 nucleotides) under uncultured bacterium. Its description in RNAcentral is "partial 16S ribosomal RNA". It matches the Rfam family "Bacterial small subunit ribosomal RNA", at positions 1294 to 1500 of the family's 1533-position model. The record is from RNAcentral.